Molecule: ribosomal RNA, 406 nt
Filed under: uncultured bacterium
Lineage: Bacteria
Description: partial 16S ribosomal RNA
Rfam family: Bacterial small subunit ribosomal RNA
Source: RNAcentral
AUUGAACGCUGGCGGCAGGCCUAACACAUGCAAGUCGAACGAGUGGCGGACGGGUGAGUAAUGUCUGGGAAUCUAGCUGAUGGAGGGGGAUAACUACGGGAAACUGUAGCUAAUACCGCAUACCAUCGGAUGAGCCCAGGUGGGAUUAGGUAGUUGGUGGGGUAAAGGCUCACCACGGCGACGAUCCCUAGCUGGUCUGAGAGGAUGACAAGCCACACUGGAACUGAGACACGGUCCAGACUCCUACGGGAGGCAGCAGUGGGGAAUAUUGCACAAUGGGCGCAAGCCUGACGCAGCCAUGCCGCGUGAAUGAAGAAGGCCUUCGGGUUGUAAAGUUCUUUCGGUGGGGAGGCGUUAACUACAGAAGAAGCACCGGCUAACUCCGUGCCAGCAGCCGCGGUAAUUC